AUGCUCGCUUCGGCAGCACAUACACUAAAAUUGGAAUGAUACAGAGAUUAGCAUGGCCCCUGCGCAAGGGUGACAUGCAAAUUCGUGAAGCGGCC
RNAcentral lists this small nuclear RNA (95 nucleotides) under Mus spretus (western wild mouse). The record is from RNAcentral. Lineage: Eukaryota; Metazoa; Chordata; Mammalia; Rodentia; Muridae.